This 253-nucleotide ribosomal RNA is filed under the name uncultured bacterium. Its description in RNAcentral is "partial 16S ribosomal RNA". It matches the Rfam family "Bacterial small subunit ribosomal RNA", at positions 524 to 776 of the family's 1533-position model. The record is from RNAcentral.
UACAGAGGUCUCAAGCGUUGUUCGGAUUCAUUGGGCGUAAAGGGUGUGUAGGUGGCGCCGUAAGUCGGGUGUGAAAUUUCGGAGCUUAACUCCGAAACUGCAUUCGAUACUGCGGUGCUUGAGGACUGGAGAGGAGACUGGAAUUCAUGGUGUAGCGGUGAAAUGCGUAGAUAUCGUAAGGAAGACCAGUGGCGAAGGCGGGUCUCUGGACAGUUCCUGACGCUGAGGCACGAAGGUCAGGGGAGCAAACGGG